Molecule: ribosomal RNA, 471 nt
Filed under: uncultured bacterium
Lineage: Bacteria
Description: bacterial SSU rRNA
Rfam family: Bacterial small subunit ribosomal RNA
Source: RNAcentral
ACUCCUACGGGAGGCAGCAGUGGGGAAUAUUGCACAAUGGGCGCAAGCCUGAUGCAGCCAUGCCGCGUGUGUGAAGAAGGCCUUCGGGUUGUAAAGCACUUUCAGUCGUGAGGAAGGUAGUGUAGUUAAUAGCUGCAUUAUUUGACGUUAGCGACAGAAGAAGCACCGGCUAACUCCGUGCCAGCAGCCGCGGUAAUACGGAGGAUCCAAGCGUUAUCCGGAAUCAUUGGGUUUAAAGGGUCCGUAGGUGGAUGAUUAAGUCAGAGGUGAAAUCCUGCAGCUCAACUGUAGAAUUGCCUUUGAUACUGGUUGUCUUGAAUUAUUGUGAAGUAGUUAGAAUAUGUGGUGUAGCGGUGAAAUGCAUAGAUAUCACAUAGAAUACCGAUUGCGAAGGCAGAUUACUAACAAUACAUUGACACUGAUGGACGAAAGCGUGGGGAGCGACAGGAUUAGAUACCCUCGUAGGCUCUG